AGUAAAUUGACAACAACUUGUCUACACAUCUCCUGAACAGGAAAUACAACGGAGCAUCGUUCGUAGCUGUUACCUUGACACUACGCAACACAGCUUGUGCGUCCUAGGCAGCAAACCAACAACGUUGAACAAACAUUGCCUACAAAUAGUUGAUUUACAUCAUGGAUCCAAGUCACGCGGAACAGCAAGAAGAGGUUCAGCCCCCAGAGGGAGAUGUCACUGAAGAACCAGAAGAAAAUCCGUCUAAAACAACAAAUGUAGAUGAAAAUGCCGAGACUAGGCGAGUGCGUGAACUUACCGAAAAGG
This 306-nucleotide long non-coding RNA is filed under the name Mytilus galloprovincialis (Mediterranean mussel). The record is from RNAcentral. Lineage: Eukaryota; Metazoa; Mollusca; Bivalvia; Mytilida; Mytilidae.